Molecule: microRNA precursor, 100 nt
Filed under: Chlorocebus sabaeus (green monkey)
Lineage: Eukaryota; Metazoa; Chordata; Mammalia; Primates; Cercopithecidae
Description: miRNA (ENSCSAG00000023642.1)
Source: RNAcentral
GAGGAGGGAGGAUUGCUUGAGCCUGGGAAGUUGAGGCUGCAGUGAGCUGAGAUCACACCACUGCACUCCAGCCUGGGUGACAGAGCAAGACCCUGUCUCA